Molecule: ribosomal RNA, 518 nt
Filed under: uncultured bacterium
Lineage: Bacteria
Description: partial 16S ribosomal RNA
Rfam family: Bacterial small subunit ribosomal RNA
Source: RNAcentral
UGGGGAAUUUUGGACAAUGGGCGAAAGCCUGAUCCAGCAAUGCCGCGUGUGUGAAGAAGGCCUUCGGGUUGUAAAGCACUUUUGUCCGGAAAGAAAUCCUUGGCUCUAAUACAGUCGGGGGAUGACGGUACCGGAAGAAUAAGCACCGGCUAACUACGUGCCAGCAGCCGCGGUAAUACGUAGGGUGCAAGCNUUAAUCGGAAUUACUGGGCGUAAAGCGUGCGCAGGCGGUUUGCUAAGACCGAUGUGAAAUCCCCGGGCUCAACCUGGGAACUGCAUUGGUGACUGGCAGGCUAGAGUAUGGCAGAGGGGGGUAGAAUUCCACGUGUAGCAGUGAAAUGCGUAGAGAUGUGGAGGAAUACCGAUGGCGAAGGCAGCCCCCUGGGCCAAAUACUGACGCUCAUGCACGAAAGCGUGGGGAGCAAACAGGAUUAGUACCCUGGUAGUCCCACGCCCUAAACCGAUGUCAACUAGUUGUUGGGGGAUUCAUUUCCUUAGUAACGUAGCUAACGCGUGAA